CUUCAGGGAGCCGAGCCAGAGCGGGGUCUCCUCGGUGUGCUCCCGCCCGUACGUCGCCAGCAGCGCCUGCGCCUC
Molecule: non-coding RNA, 75 nt
Organism: Streptomyces pactum
Lineage: Bacteria; Bacillati; Actinomycetota; Actinomycetes; Kitasatosporales; Streptomycetaceae
Source: Rfam